ACAAACUUGGUCAUUUAGAGGAAGUAAAAGUCGUAACAAGGUUUCCGUAGGUGAACCUGCGGAAGGAUCAUUAUUGAGUACUUGGGUUUUUCAUUUUAAAUGAAAAGCUCGACCUCUCCCAAACCCUUUGUUUAAAUAAUUAUUUUGUUGCUUUGGUAGAUGUUGGAGUCAUUUCCACUACCAAUAGCCUCUAUUAAAUUCUUCUUGAUCAAAACAUUGAAGUCUAAAUUUUUAAUUAAAUUAAUUAAAACUUUCAACAACGGAUCUCUUGGUUCUGGCAUCGAUGAAGAACGCAGC
RNAcentral lists this unclassified non-coding RNA (297 nucleotides) under uncultured fungus. Its description in RNAcentral is "partial contains small subunit ribosomal RNA, internal transcribed spacer 1, and 5.8S ribosomal RNA". The stretch from base 1 to 73 matches the Rfam family "Eukaryotic small subunit ribosomal RNA", at positions 1759 to 1831 of the family's 1831-position model. Lineage: Eukaryota; Fungi. The record is from RNAcentral.